Molecule: long non-coding RNA, 621 nt
Filed under: Sinocyclocheilus anshuiensis
Lineage: Eukaryota; Metazoa; Chordata; Actinopteri; Cypriniformes; Cyprinidae
Description: lncRNA (ENSSANG00000047814.1)
Source: RNAcentral
UUAUUAUUCAAUUUUUUCAAAUUUUUUUACUUUACAUAGUAUCAGGGUGUAAAGAGACACGGUUUCAUCCAGCCUCACAUUCUGGCUGAGCAGGAUGUUGUCAUCACCACUUAUGACGUGCUGCGCACUGAACUCGAUUACGUUGACAUCCCCCACAGCAACAGCAAAGACGGCCGCCGAUUCCGCAACCAGAAGCGCUACAUGGCCAUACCGAGCCCUCUAGUGGCCGUGGAGUGGUGGAGCGUCUGUCUGGAUGAAGCUCAGAUGGUGGAGUGCACCACAGCCAAGGCUGCAGAAAUGGCUUUGCGUCUCACAUCUGUUAAUCGCUGGUGUGUCAGUGGAACACCUGUGCAGAGAGGUUUGGAAGACUUGUAUGGUCUUGUCCUAUUCUUGGGAGUUGAUCCCUAUUGGGUCAAAUACUGGUGGGACCAGUUACUUUAUCGCCCGUACUGCCACGGCAAUACGUCACCGCUCUACAAUGUCAUUGGUCAACUACUAUGGCGAUCUGCCAAAAAAGAUUAAUCCAAAUCCCUUCUCAAACAGAAGAGAUCCACUGGCUCAACUUCUCUCCAGUAGAGGGACACUUUUACCACCGUCAGCAUGAGGUUUGUUCGCAGGAUG